AGGGUGCAGGGCGGAUGCCUUGGCACUAGGAGCCGAUGAAGGACGUGAUAAGCUGCGAUAAGCUUCGGGGAGUUGCACGUAAACUUUGAUCCGAAGAUUUCCGAAUGAGGAAACUCACUUAGAGUAAUGUCUAAGUAUCGUUAAGUGAAUACAUAGCUUAGCGAGGGGAACCCGGGGAACUGAAACAUCUAAGUACCCGGAGGAAGAGAAAGAAAUUCGAUUCCGUAAGUAGCGGCGAGCGAACGCGGAACAGGCCAAACCAAUGAAGUUUACUUCGUUGGGGUUGCGGACAUACAACAUGGAUGCAAUAUCGUAAAUGAAGAGAGUUGGAAAGCUCCGCCAUAGAAGGUAAUAGCCCUGUAGUUGAAACGAGAAAGCUACUAGUAUGAUCCAGAGUACCACGGGACACGUGAAACCCUGUGGGAAGCAGGAGGGACCAUCCUCCAAGCCUAAAUACUACCUAGUGACCGAUAGCGCAUAGUACCGUGAGGGAAAGGUGAAAAGAACCCCGGGAGGGGAGUGAAAUAGAACCUGAAACCCUGCACUUACAAGCUGUGGGAGCACAUUACUUGUGUGACCGCGUACUUUUUGUAGAACGGGCCAACGAGUUACGUUAAGUAGCAAGGUUAAGCACUUAAGGUGUGGAGCCGUAGCGAAAGCGAGUCUUAAAUGGGCGAUUAAGUUACUUGGCGUAGACCCGAAACCGGGCGACCUAUCCAUGAGCAGGUUGAAGCGAAAGUAAAAUUUCGUGGAGGACCGAACCCACGAGCGUUGAAAAGCUCGGGGAUGACUUGUGGAUAGCGGUGAAAUUCCAAUCGAGCCCGGAGAUAGCUGGUUCUCCCCGAAAUAGCUUUAGGGCUAGCCUCAAGCGUAGAGAAACGGAGGUAGAGCACUGAAUGUCCUAGGGGGUAUUGCACUUACCGAAGACUAUCAAACUCCGAAUGCCGUUUUCUUUUACUUGGGAGUCAGACUGUGGGUGAUAAGAUUCAUAGUCAAAAGGGCAACAGCCCAGAUCGUCAGCUAAGGUCCCUAAAUGUACGUUAAGUGGUAAAGGAUGUGGGAUUGCACAGACAACCAGGAUGUUGGCUUAGAAGCAGCCACUCAUUUAAAGAGUGCGUAAUAGCUCACUGGUCGAGUGAUCCUGCGCCGAAAAUUUCCGGGGCUAAAACGUACUACCGAAGCUACGGCAUCAUUUAUGAUGGGUAGGGGAGCUUCGUAUGCAGGCUGAAGCAUGACCGUAAGGACAUGUGGACAGUAUACGAGUGAGAAUGUUGGCAUGAGUAGCGAGACGUGGGUGAGAAUCCCACGGGCCGUAAACCCAAGGUUUCCAGGGGAAGGUUCGUCCGCCCUGGGUUAGUCGGGACCUAAGCCGAGGCCGAAAGGCGUAGGUGAUGGACAACAGGUUGAUAUUCCUGUACCGCCAAUAAGCGUUUGAGAGAUGGAGUGACACAGUAGGAUAAGCUAACCGUACUGUUGGUUAUGUACGGCUAAGCAUUGAGGCAGUCUAAAUAGGCAAAUCCGUUUGGACAAUGCUAGGAUGUGAUGGGGAAGCCCUUCGGGGCGAAGUAGCUGAUUUCACACUGUCAAGAAAAGCUUCUAUCGAGUUUAAAGGCGCCCGUACCGUAAACCGACACAGGUGGGUGAGGAGAGUAUCCUAAGGCCAGCGAGAGAACUAUUGUUAAGGAACUCGGCAAAAUGACCCCGUAACUUAGGGAGAAGGGGUGCCUGUCUAUGACAGGCCGCAGAGAAUAGGCCCAAGCGACUGUUUACCAAAAACACAGGUUUCUGCUAAGUCGCAAGACGAUGUAUAGGAGCUGACGCCUGCCCGGUGCUGGAAGGUUAAGGGGAUCUGUUAGAGCAAUCGAAGCAGUGAACUUAAGCCCCAGUAAACGGCGGCCGUAACUAUAACGGUCCUAAGGUAGCGAAAUUCCUUGUCGGGUAAGUUCCGACCCGCACGAAAGGCGUAACGAUCUGGGCGCUGUCUCAACAAGAGACUCGGUGAAAUCAUAGUACCUGUGAAGAUGCAGGUUACCCGCGACAGGACGGAAAGACCCCGUGGAGCUUUACUGUAGCUUGAUAUUGAGCACUGGUGGCACAUGUACAGGAUAGGUAGGAGACGAAGAAACCAGGACGCCAGUCUUGGUGGAGUCGCUGUUGGGAUACUACCCUUGUGUCACUGGGGUUCUAACCCGUGGCCCUUAUCGGGUCAGGGAACAGUGUCAGGUGGGCAGUUUGACUGGGGCGGUCGCCUCCCAAAGAGUAACGGAGGCGCCCAAAGGUUCCCUCAGAAUGGUUGGAAAUCAUUCGAAGAGUGUAAAGGCAGAAGGGAGCUUGACUGCGAGACCUACAAGUCGAGCAGGGACGAAAGUCGGGCUUAGUGAUCCGGCGGUACCGAAUGGAAGGGCCGUCGCUCAACGGAUAAAAGCUACCCCGGGGAUAACAGGCUGAUCUCCCCCAAGAGUUCACAUCGACGGGGAGGUUUGGCACCUCGAUGUCGGCUCAUCGCAUCCUGGGGCUGUAGUCGGUCCCAAGGGUUGGGCUGUUCGCCCAUUAAAGCGGUACGCGAGCUGGGUUCAGAACGUCGUGAGACAGUUCGGUCCCUAUCCGUCGUGGGCGUAGGAAAUUUGAGAGGAGCUGUCCUUAGUACGAGAGGACCGGGAUGGACACACCGCUGGUGUACCAGUUGUUCUGCCAGGAGCAUAGCUGGGUAGCUACGUGUGGACGGGAUAAACGCUGAAAGCAUCUAAGCGUGAAGCCCCCCUCAAGAUGAGAUUUCCCAUUCGAAAGAAGUAAGAUCCCUUGA
Molecule: ribosomal RNA, 2803 nt
Filed under: human gut metagenome
Description: bacterial LSU rRNA
Rfam family: Bacterial large subunit ribosomal RNA
Source: RNAcentral